GAGCUUGAGAAGGAAUCAGAUUCUGCAUAUAUUUCCAAGUUAACAUGAACAAGAUUUUCUGAAAGACUGCUAUGGAGUCUGAGAAAAAAGUGUCAAAGGUAGUGCCAAAAUUGUCACUUAAAGAACUGCAGGAAUGGAGUUGGCAUUUACAGAAUUUAGAAGAGAAGCAGGUUUAGUGAUAAAGACCAGAAGCACAGAGCUAAGCAUAUUAAAUAUUGAGGACAUGAGGAGGAAAGAACUGACAGAGGAGAUGAAGAAAGGUGAUCAGGAAGAGCCAUCAAAGUGUUAUCCUGGAAUUCAAGUGAAGACAGUGUUUCAAAGAUAUGCCACAGAGAGGAUCCAGAGAGCCCAUCUUCAGUCAGUUAUCUGUAUUUGCAUGUCAACUACAGCAUCAAGAAGCAUAGGCAUGGAUACUAAGGACCCCCUCUGUACACCAAAGCCAGUCCAAAGGACAGUGUGUCACUGUGAACUGUAAAUUCAUCUCUCUUCUUCAUCUUUUUUCUACCUACUUUAUGCUUUAUCUCUAAGUUGAGGCUGUUUAUGGCCUCAUCCUCAAUUACCUUGUCCCUC
Molecule: long non-coding RNA, 570 nt
Filed under: Pongo abelii (Sumatran orangutan)
Lineage: Eukaryota; Metazoa; Chordata; Mammalia; Primates; Hominidae
Description: lincRNA
Source: RNAcentral